UGCUUUGGAUUAUAAAUAAGGAUAUCUUGAAUACACACAAAUUAACCAAACUAGUUAAUAUGGCUUCUAAAAAAACCUCCCUUGUUUGGGUUUUCCUCAUUUUGUGUGUUAUUUCAUUAUGUGACAAGACAACAACUAUGAAGCUAGUUGGUGCUUCUCAGCUUCAUGCAAGGUCACAUGAAAUGGUUAUGGUUAAGAGUAGAAGGUUAGGGUGCCAUAACGAUGCUGAUGUUCCUCGUUGUGGCAAUUACGGCUAUCCAACCAGUCACAAAUGAUUAUAAUUUAUCCUCAAAAAAUAUGAUGUUCCUCGUUGUGGCACCAUAUUCAAUCAUUUAUAAAUUAUUAUGUAUGAUGUUGUAUUUAUUGUCAGAACUAAGAUUUAUAUUGGAUACAAUAUGGAUCUGUUUAGUUGUAAUCGGUUUUACUUUCAUAUAGAUUCAUGUUUGUAUCAUCGAUUGUAUUUGUAUCAUUAUAAUAAUAAAAAGAGAGUGGUUCUUCUUUGAAUAAAA
Cicer arietinum (chickpea) is the source of this 509-nucleotide long non-coding RNA. RefSeq lists it as uncharacterized. NCBI's taxonomy places the organism in Eukaryota, Viridiplantae, Streptophyta, Magnoliopsida, Fabales, Fabaceae. The record is from RefSeq and is a predicted model, not a curated record.